This 403-nucleotide ribosomal RNA is filed under the name bacterium. RNAcentral describes it as "partial 16S ribosomal RNA". It matches the Rfam family "Bacterial small subunit ribosomal RNA", at positions 355 to 776 of the family's 1533-position model. The record is from RNAcentral.
UGGGGAAUAUUGCACAAUGGAGGGAACUCUGAUGCAGCGACGCCGCGUGAACGAAGAAGGCUUUCGAGUCGUAAAGUUCUUUUAUAUGGGAAGAUAAUGACGGUACCAUAAGAAAAAGCCCCGGCUAACUACGUGCCAGCAGCCGCGGUAAUACGUAGGGGGCUAGCGUUGUCCGGAAUCACUGGGCGUAAAGGGUUCGCAGGCGGAAAUGCAAGUCAGGUGUAGAAGGCAGUAGCUUAACUACUGUAAGCAUUUGAAACUGCAUAUCUUGAGAAGAGUAGAGGUAAGUGGAAUUUUUAGUGUAGCGGUGAAAUGAGUAGAUAUUAAAAAGAAUACCGGUGGCGAAGGCGACUUACUGGGCUCAUUCUGACGCUGAGGAACGAAAGCGUGGGUAGCAAACAGG